RNAcentral lists this long non-coding RNA (1418 nucleotides) under Apteryx haastii (Great spotted kiwi). RNAcentral describes it as "lncRNA (ENSAHAG00000016634.1)". The record is from RNAcentral. Lineage: Eukaryota; Metazoa; Chordata; Aves; Apterygiformes; Apterygidae.
ACAUGGCACAGUGGUGCACGGACGUGCACAUGGCACGGUGCACGGCACUGCACAGUGCACGGUGGUGCACAUGGCACAGCGGUGCAAGUCACGGAGGUGCACACGGCACGGCGGUGCACGGCGCUGCACAGUGCAUGGUGGUGCAAGGCACGGAGGUGCGCACAAGGUGGUGCACAGCACGGUGGUGCACGGCGCUGCACAGUGCACAGUGGUGCACAUGGCACGGUGGUGCACGGCAUGGUGGUGCAUAUGGCACGGUGGUGCAAGGCACGGUGGUGCACGGCGCUGCACAGUGCAUGGUGGUGCAAGGCACAGAGGUGCACACACGGCAGUGCACAGCACGGUGGUGCACAUGGCACGGUGGUGCACACACGGUGGUGCACAGCACGGUGGUGCACAUGGCACGGUGGUGCAAGGCACGGAGGUGCACAUGGCACGGUGGUGCACGGUGCUGCACAGUGCACGGUGGUGCACAUGGCACGGUGGUGCACACAUGGUGGUGCACAGCACGGAGGUGCACAUGGCACGGUGGUGCACGGCGCUGCACAGUGCACGGUGGUGCAAGGCACGGAGGUGCGCACACGGUGGUGCACAGCACGGUGGUGCACACGGCACGGCGGUGCCCGGAGCGGUGCUGGUGCCUGGCGUGGUGCUGGUGUCCAGUUUGCUGGUGAUGGUGCCACUGCCUGGCACGGUGAUUUCCAGUACGGUGAUGCCUGCUGCACCCGCGGUGCCACGGCCCGGCACGGCGAUGCCCGGUGCAUCGGUGGUACCCAGCACGGUGGUGUCCCUGCCCGGUUCAGCGUCGCGGCGCGCCGGUGCCCGUCACCACAGCGGUGCCCCAGCCCGGCACGGUGACACCCAACACCCCUAGUGCCCGGGACGGUGAUAUCCAGCACGCUGAUGCUGGGCACGGAGUUGCCCGGUGCAACGGUGGUGCGUUGGCAGUUCCCGGCACGGCGGUGCCCAGCGCAUCGGCGGUACCCGGUGCAUCAGCGAUGCCCGGUGCGUCGGCGGUACCCGGUGCAUCGGUGGUGCCUGGCACAGGGAUUUCCAGCACGGUAGUGCCCAGUGCAUCGGUGGUACCUGGUGCAUCGGUGGUACCCGGCACAUUGGUGGUGCCAGGCACGGUGAUUUCCAGCACGGUGAUGCCCAGUGCAUCGGUGGUACCUGGCACAGGGAUUUCCAGCACGGUGGUACCUGGUGCAUCGGUGGUACCUGGUGCAUCGGUGGUGCCAGGCACGGUGAUUUCCAGCACGGUGGUACCUGGUGCAUCGGUGGUACCUGGUGCAUCGGCAGUACCCAGUGCAUCGGUGGUACGUGGUGCCUUGGCGGUACCCGGUGCAUCGGUGGUGCCAGGCACGGUGAUUUCCAGCACGGUGAUGCCCAGUGCAUCGGUGGUACCCAGUGCAUCGGCG